AUUGGCUUACUCUAUAAAUUCUAUAGCAAAAACAAGCCAAGAUUCGAAUCACUUCAGGUUUGAUCUAUUUUUUCAGUACUCUCUUCGCCUAUUUCAGAGUCUUUGAUUUAUGGCUCAAACAACUCCAAACCACACCCAGACUGUUUCUGGGUGGGCAGCUCACGAUUCCUCUGGCAAGAUCACCCCUUACGUUUUCAAAAGAAGAGAGAACGGUGUCAACGAUGUGACCAUAAAGAUCUUGUAUUGUGGGAUAUGCCACACAGAUCUCCACCAUGCGAGGAACGAUUGGGGCAUUACCAUGUAUCCUGUGGUUCCAGGGCAUGAAAUUACAGGCGUAAUCACCAAGGUGGGGAGCAAUGUAAAGAACUUCAAGGUGGGAGACAGGGUUGGAGUUGGGUGCUUGGCAGCUUCCUGCUUGGAGUGCGAGUUCUGCAAGAGCUCCCAAGAGAAUUACUGUGAUCAGAUACAGCUUACUUACAAUGGCAUUUUCUGGGAUGGAAGCAUCACCUACGGUGGCUACUCCGAAAUGUUGGUUGCAGAUCAUAGGUACGUGGUGCAAAUACCGGAAAACCUGCCAAUGGAUGCAGCAGCGCCUUUGCUUUGUGCGGGAAUCACUGUAUUCAGCCCCAUGAAAGACAACGAGCUGCUAAAGUCGCCAGGGAAAAGGAUAGGGAUAGUCGGUUUAGGGGGUCUUGGACAUGUAGCUGUGAAGUUUGGCAAAGCAUUUGAUCACCAUGUAACUGUGAUUAGUACCUCCCCAUCUAAAGAAAGGGAGGCCAAAGAACGCUUGGGGGCAGAUGAUUUCAUAGUCAGCACAAAUCCUAAACAAAUGAAGGUCUGAUUUAUAUAUAUAAUUCAUUUUGAAAACCACCUGAAUUCAAGCAUAUUUUAUCCAAUGUUAUAAUUAUUUCUUUUGGGUGUGACAGGCAGGGAAGAGAACUCUGGAUCUUAUCAUUGAUACAGUGUCAGCUAAUCACUCUCUUGGGCCAAUCUUGGAAUUGCUCAAGGUGAAUGGGACAUUGGUGGCAGUGGGUGCCCCAGAAAAGCCUUUUGAGCUGCCUUCUUUCCCUCUGAUAUUUGGUAAAAUACCUAUUUCUCUCACACUUCUCAAAGCUUGGAUGAUAAUUAAACAGCAAAAUAUAACAGGUACAUGUAUAAAUUUGAGUAAAUGUUGUUGCAGGCAAGAGAACAGUGAAGGGAAGCAUGACAGGGGGAAUGAAAGAAACGCAAGAAAUGAUGGAUGUGUGUGGAAAGUAUAAUAUCACUUGCGACAUUGAGGUUGUGAAACCAGAGAACAUCAAUGAAGCCCUUGAACGACUCGCAAGAAACGAUGUUAGAUAUCGUUUUGUAAUCGACAUUGCUGGAAACUCUUCACUUUAAUUUUGCCAAGCAGUGUCUGUAGUUUCUCAUCUACUUUCUACUUCUUUUGUUGCUUAAAAAAUUUGUGGGCAUAUAAUUCAUAUACGUAAAAUAAUUUUGUGCUAAUCAUUAUAGUGAGUCUUACAUGGGUCUCAUAUAAUCAAUUAUUAUAAUUAAAUCAUUGAAUAUAUGAUAGUUGCACUUGUUAAAAAAAUUGUGCUUGUAUAAUGUGUUAUGUAAGCUGCAAUAAAAUGUAAAAUAAAAUGAAAUAUUGAUUAUGUAACACCUUAAAUUUUUAAAUAAUUAUUUAUAUUUAAUUAUAUAAUUUUUUAUUAAUUUAGAGGGGUCAUAAGAUGUUUGAUGAGAUGUAGAUAUAGGAUAUAUGUUUUAGAAUUGUUAUUUGGAUUAUUUUGCGGGUUGGGUAGGUCCUGAAUAUAGGGAGAAUUCUACCAAAUUUUCGAUAAAACUUAAAAUGUCCUUUGAUUCUUUAAAGUUUUAUUUUAAAUAAAUAUCGAUCAAUUUGUAAUGUAAUUAUUUAAGUGAUCCAGGUUAGCCGCCAUAAUAGUCUUCGAGUAAAGUAAAUAUUAAUUUUAUUUAUAAUUUCACUAUUAUUAUUUAUUCAAGACAUGC
This 1989-nucleotide unclassified non-coding RNA is filed under the name Hevea brasiliensis (rubber tree). Lineage: Eukaryota; Viridiplantae; Streptophyta; Magnoliopsida; Malpighiales; Euphorbiaceae. The record is from RNAcentral.